Papaver somniferum (opium poppy) is the source of this 680-nucleotide long non-coding RNA. RefSeq lists it as uncharacterized. The transcript is spliced from 2 exons. The record is from RefSeq and is a predicted model, not a curated record. NCBI's taxonomy places the organism in Eukaryota, Viridiplantae, Streptophyta, Magnoliopsida, Ranunculales, Papaveraceae.
UUCAUUUUCUCUCUUCUUCUUCUCAAAAACACUCUCCAAAACCUCUCAAAAACACUCUCCAAAACCUAACAAUAUCUCCCCUCUUCUCCAUUGAUUUCUGAAGCAGCUCAACAUGAUUCGAUUCUAAAGUUGAUUCUCAAGAUGGCAGCAAGAUCAAGAGUGACAAGAUCCGGCCGAUUAAACCCUGAUUUUGAAGCUGGGCAAGUUAUUGAUGUUCCUUUUAAUGGAGAUGUGGUAAACCAAUCUGUUCAAACACCUGCGAAUCCUCCACAAAUGACUCCUACUAGGUCAAGCGAGCUAAGUGGAUUGUCAGGGGACUGAUCCGUAACAUUGAGGAGGUUUUAUAUUUGGAUUGCGACCAACAAAAAACACUGCUUCUCAGGAUUCAGGAGUUACAUAAUCCAGCGAAGAAUGAUCUCUAUACUAACGACGAGGAUGAUUGGAUGAGUGGUUCCCAAACUCCCCACAGUUCUUCAUCAUCUUCUAAGGAUGUUCCUAAGAUUUUUGGUCGUAGUGGAUGAUUUUUUUAUGUACUUGUUUAAGUCAUUCCAGCUUUUCAUUAUGCAGACUUACUUUUAGCAUGUUUUAGGUUAUGGAUUUGGGUGAUUUCGUUUGUUUUAAGUAAUGGGAUAUCAAUUUACCUUGAAUAAUUGGAUACUGGUGUUUUGAUUAUUAAUUUA